GAUGAACGCUGACAGAAUGCUUAACACAUCAGCAAUUGAUUGGUGGCGGACGGGUGAGUAACGCGUAAAGAACUUACCUCACAGUUAGGGCCACCUUUUGGAAACGAAUGCAAUACCUACUACUGUGAGAGAGCUUUGCGUCCCAUUAGCUAGUUGGAGAGGUAACGGCUCACCAAGGCGAUGAUGGGUAGCCGGCCGGAGAGGGUGAUCGGCCACAAGGGGACUGAGACACGGACCUUACUCCUACGGGAGGCAGCAGUGGGGAAGAUUGGACAAUGGACCAAAGUCUGAUCCAGAAAUUCUGUGUGCACGAUGAAGUUUUCGGAAUGUAAAGUGCUUUCAGUUGGGAAGCGGUACCAACAGAAGAAGUGACGGCUAAAUACGUGCCAGCAGCCGCGGUAAUAC
Molecule: ribosomal RNA, 405 nt
Filed under: uncultured bacterium
Lineage: Bacteria
Description: partial 16S ribosomal RNA
Rfam family: Bacterial small subunit ribosomal RNA
Source: RNAcentral